UACGUAGGCAGCAAGCGUUGUUCGGAGUUACUGGGCGUAAAGGGUGCGUAGGCGGCUUUUUAAGUUUGGUGUGAAAUCUCCCGGCUCAACUGGGAGGGUGCGCCGAAUACUGAGAGGCUAGAGUGUGGGAGAGGAAAGUGGAAUUCCUGGUGUAGCGGUGAAAUGCGUAGAUAUCAGGAGGAACACCGGUGGUGUAAACGGCUUUCUGGACCAUAACUGACGCUGAUGCACGAAAGCGUGGGUAGCAAACAG
RNAcentral lists this ribosomal RNA (252 nucleotides) under uncultured bacterium. RNAcentral describes it as "partial 16S ribosomal RNA". It matches the Rfam family "Bacterial small subunit ribosomal RNA", at positions 524 to 775 of the family's 1533-position model. The record is from RNAcentral.